RNAcentral lists this ribosomal RNA (496 nucleotides) under uncultured bacterium. RNAcentral's name for it is "partial 16S ribosomal RNA". It matches the Rfam family "Bacterial small subunit ribosomal RNA", at positions 28 to 507 of the family's 1533-position model. The record is from RNAcentral.
GACGAACGCUGGCGGCGUGCCUAAUACAUGCAAGUCGAGCGAACAGAUGAGGAGCUUGCUCCUCUGACGUUAGCGGCGGACGGGUGAGUAACACGUGGAUAACCUACCUAUAAGACUGGGAUAACUUCGGGAAACCGGAGCUAAUACCGGAUAAUAUAUUGAACCGCAUGGUUCAAUAGUGAAAGACGGUUUUGCUGUCACUUAUAGAUGGAUCCGCGCCUCAUUAGCGAGUUGGUAAGGUAACGGCUUACCAGGGCAACGAUGCGUAGCCGACCUGAGAGGGUGUUCGCCCCCUCUGAAGUUGGCCGCCGACCCUGGUCCUGAGGGACGGCGCCGGUGCGUAUUCUACGCAAUGGGGGGAAACCUUGCCGAAUCAACGCCGGUGAGAUGAAGAAGGCCUCCGGGCGGUAAAACUCUUUUAUUGUGGAAAACCAAUUUGGAAGUAACUAUGCACGUCUUGACGGUACCUGAUCAGAAAGCCACGGCUAACUACGUG